Molecule: long non-coding RNA, 516 nt
Filed under: Equus caballus (horse)
Lineage: Eukaryota; Metazoa; Chordata; Mammalia; Perissodactyla; Equidae
Description: lncRNA (ENSECAG00000055145.1)
Source: RNAcentral
UUAGAAGCCACAGUGUUUUCUUUGUUCUUGGCAUCAUUGAAGAUCUUUUCCAACAGGUCAUCACAUAGACUUCUUGCUCGGCUUGAGUCCUGGGGGUGACCUUAGGAAUCACAGAACCAAACCCUGGGAAUGCCGUGAGUUCUGGAGACCAGAAGUCUGGAAUCAAAAUGACAGGGGCUUUCAGCUGGAACUACCAUCUUCCAGUAAUUCACCAAGAUGACCAACACAAAGGGAAAGAGGCGAGGCACUCACUAUAUGUUCUCUAGGCCUUAGAAGACAUGGAGUUGUUCCUUUGGCCACAUACAUGUGAAUCUACGAGAAAGGGGAUAUUAUCAACAGCAAGGGAAUGGGCACUGUUCAGAAAGGAGUACCCCAUGAACGUCACCAUGCAAAGUGGGAAGAGUCUACAGUGUGACCCAAUGCUGUUGGUGGUGUUGUAAGCAAACAAGCUCCCAUCGAGCGCGGAUUAGUUAUCUGUCAUCGGGACUCUGAAGGCAGUUCUUUAAUAAAUCUCCC